GACGAACGCUGGCGGCGUGCUUAACACAUGCAAGUCGAACGGAAAGGUCCUGCUUUUGUGGGGUGCUCGAGUGGCGAACGGGUGAGUAACACGUGAGUAACCUGCCCUUGACUUUGGGAUAACUUCAGGAAACUGGGGCUAAUACCGGAUAGGAGCUCCUGCUGCAUGGUGGGGGUUGGAAAGUUUCGGCGGUUGGGGAUGGACUCGCGGCUUAUCAGCUUGUUGGUGGGGUAGUGGCUUACGAAGGCUUUGACGGGUAGCCGGCCUGAGAGGGUGACCGGCCACAAUGGGACUGAGAUACGGCCCAGACUCCUACGGGAGGCAGCAGUGGGGAAUAUUGCACAAUGGGCGGAAGCCUGAUGCAGCAACGCCGCGUGCGGGAUGACGGCCUUCGGGUUGUAAACCGCUUUCGCCUGUGACGAAGCGUGAGUGACGGUAAUGGGUAAAGAAGCACCGGCUAACUACGUG
Molecule: ribosomal RNA, 468 nt
Filed under: uncultured bacterium
Lineage: Bacteria
Description: partial 16S ribosomal RNA
Rfam family: Bacterial small subunit ribosomal RNA
Source: RNAcentral